Molecule: unclassified non-coding RNA, 510 nt
Filed under: uncultured Glomus
Lineage: Eukaryota; Fungi; Glomeromycota; Glomeromycetes; Glomerales; Glomeraceae
Description: SSU rRNA
Rfam family: Eukaryotic small subunit ribosomal RNA
Source: RNAcentral
AGCAGCCGCGGUAAUUCCAGCUCCAAUAGCGUAUAUUAAAGUUGUUGCAGUUAAAAAGCUCGUAGUUGAAUUUCGAGAUCAAAUUGUUGGUCGUGCCUUGGUACGCACUGGCAUUAUUGGUUUCUCCCUUCUGACGAACCAUGAUGUCAUUAAUUUGGUGUCUUGGGGAAUCAGGACUGUUACUUUGAAAAAUUGAGUGUUUAAAGCAGGCUCACGCUUGAAUACAUUAGCAUGGAAUAAUGAAAUAGGACGUUUGAUUCUAUUUUGUUGGUUUCUAGGAUCGACGUAAUGAUUAAUAGGGAUAGUUGGGGGCAUUAGUAUUCAAUUGUCAGAGGUGAAAUUCUUGGAUUUAUUGAAGACUAACUACUGCGAAAGCAUUUGCCAAGGAUGUUUUCAUUAAUCAAGAACGAAAGUUAGGGGAUCGAAGACGAUCAGAUACCGUCGUAGUCUUAACCAUAAACUAUGCCGACUAGGGAUCGGAUGAUGUUAAUUUUUAAUGUACUCAUUCGG